Molecule: long non-coding RNA, 1144 nt
Filed under: Nicotiana tabacum (common tobacco)
Lineage: Eukaryota; Viridiplantae; Streptophyta; Magnoliopsida; Solanales; Solanaceae
Description: long non-coding RNA (NTAB_LNC016350)
Source: RNAcentral
CGAUCAAAACCUGGCAAUCACCGCAUUCUAAAGCCUCUUCUAGAGCUUCUCUCUUCUAACCAGGCAGACAGCUCUUUGAGAAACUUGGCAGAUGCAGGUUUUUUGUAUCAAAAGGCUAACGCCCGGUUUAUUGCAAAUUCAGUAUCACCAAUAUCAAAUAAGCUCUAUCAUCUGUCAAUUCCCAGCUUCCACCUUUUGGCUCCUUGCGCUUCUUCAUCUCAUCUUUGCACUUUUGUGAAUUUUCCCGUUUGGAUCGUUGUUUCUUGUGAGUUUUCGUAUCCUUUAUUCGCAUACCGUGUUUCUCUUUUUAAUUUUUUAUGGCAUGUUAGGGCUUUAUUGCACAGAGAGUUUAAUUUGUCCAACGGCUUUGUCUUUAGGUGUUUGAGGCAAUUCCUAAAUGAAUUACGCAUUUUUUUGAUUUCUACUAUUAUUUUGGGUUUAUUUUCUCAAUUGUGAAAUAGUUGGGGAAACCUGCGACUAAAUACUAACAACCGCUUUUGCUUUCAAUUAGACAGUACAGAUUGAACUAAACCAUACAUGCCUUGUGUCUUUUCUUACCAAGAAGAGAAAUUUCAAUAUUAAGUUUGCAAUGAGAUCUUUAAUUGUUUGUUUUUCACACUUGGUCUUCGUGAAUCAGAGUUUGAAGCUUUUAACAUGUGGAUGUACAAUUUAUUUUUUGUUCACAUUGAUAAUCUGUUAAAUCUGUAAAAGCCCAUAUGUUCUUCCUAUGUAGCAAAGACUAGUAUCCCAUGAUGGGAGAGAGAAACACAAGAUAAGAAGAAGCAAGCUCACAGGAAAAUAACAAUCCAAACGAUAAAUUCACCAAAGUUUAAAGCUAACAACAAGAAGAGUAAGGAGAGACAGCGUUGCAGUCGCAGAGGAGAUUGAAGAUUGCGAAACAUUUCAUAUCUUCCUAGAUUGGCAAAAAAAACAUUAAAAUAGGAUGUGUCUCUAUGCUAACCUCUUAACCAUAUUCUUCUAGGAAAAAAUAAUUUACUUCCAAGACUAUAAAAUUGAUAUUUUAAUAGCAAAAAUCCAGUAUAUAAUAAAACAAAAAAUUAAACAGAAAGACGGAGGAAAAGGUAUCAAAGAACUGACACUAUUAAAGUGGGAGCUUACCAAUGAAUUUACUGACCUAUAUCCU